AUGGCGGCAGUGGCUGGAUGGUUCAAGGUGCUGAUGAUGGAUGUAGUGGUAGGAGGUGGUGUUGUGAAGCGGGUGGUGAAGAUGGAUGGCGCACCUACCACGCCGGCCUGGCCGUGGCGGCGGCCGGAGGUGGAGAAGGAGGCUGGGGGAGAAGGAGAUGUAGCCAGUCCAUUCUUCUUCCUCUUCUUCGUUCUCUUAGCCACUAGUCCCGAUCUUGAAGCUUAUAGUGCCUUUGCGCACUUUUCUGCAAAAGAGACACAAUGA
Molecule: ribosomal RNA, 264 nt
Filed under: Triticum aestivum (bread wheat)
Lineage: Eukaryota; Viridiplantae; Streptophyta; Magnoliopsida; Poales; Poaceae
Description: partial small subunit ribosomal RNA
Source: RNAcentral